This 465-nucleotide ribosomal RNA is filed under the name uncultured bacterium. RNAcentral's name for it is "partial 16S ribosomal RNA". It matches the Rfam family "Bacterial small subunit ribosomal RNA", at positions 339 to 795 of the family's 1533-position model. The record is from RNAcentral.
CUACGGGUCGCAGCAGUGGGGAAUAUUGGACAAUGGGGGAAACCCUGAUCCAGCAAUGCCGCGUGUGUGAAGAAGGCCUGCGGGUUGUAAAGCACUUUCGGUUGGGAGGUCUGCUUCUAGCACUAAUAUUGUUGGAAGUUGACGUUACCUUCAGAAGAAGCACCGGCUAACUCCGUGCCAGCAGCCGCGGUAAUACGGGGGGUGCAAGCGUUAAUCGGAAUUACUGGGCGUAAAGCGCGCGUAGGCGGCUAGAUCAGUCGGGUGUGAAAGCCCCGGGCUUAACCUGGGAACUGCAUCCGAUACUGUCUAGCUUGAGUACAGGAGAGGAGAGUGGAAUUCCACAUGUAGCGGUGAAAUGCGUAGAUAUGUGGAGGAACACCAAUGGCGAAGGCAGCUCUCUGGCCUGAUACUGACGCUGAGGUGCGAAAGCGUGGGGAGCAAACAGGAUUAGAUACCCUUGUAGUC